GCGCUUGCUGCGGCAGCACGCGUACUACAAUUGGGACGACACAGACAAGAUCAGCACGGCCCAUGCCGAGGAGGACACGGAAAUUUGUGAAGCGUUCCAUAUUGAG
Molecule: small nuclear RNA, 106 nt
Filed under: Chinchilla lanigera (long-tailed chinchilla)
Lineage: Eukaryota; Metazoa; Chordata; Mammalia; Rodentia; Chinchillidae
Source: RNAcentral